GGAGGAUCCGAGCGUNAUCCGGACUCANNGGGUNUAAAGGGAGCGUAGGUGGACNAUUAAGNCAGCNGUGAAAGNUUGCGGCCCAAUCGUAAAANNGCAGUNGAUACUGGUCGUCUNGAGUGCAGUAGAGGUAGGCGGAAUNCGUGGUGUAGCGGUGAAAUGCUUAGAUAUCACGAAGAACUCCGAUNGCGAAGGCAGCCCCCUGGGGCAAAACUGACGCNCAUGCACGAAAGCGUGGGGAGCAAACAGGAUUAGAUACCCUGGUAGUCCACGCCCUAAACGAUGUCUACUGGUUGUUGGAGGGUAAAACCUUCAGUAACGAAGCUAACGCGUGAAGUAGACAGCCUGGGGAGUACGGUCGCAAGAUUAAAACUCAAA
This 378-nucleotide ribosomal RNA is filed under the name uncultured bacterium. RNAcentral describes it as "partial 16S ribosomal RNA". It matches the Rfam family "Bacterial small subunit ribosomal RNA", at positions 527 to 905 of the family's 1533-position model. The record is from RNAcentral.